Long non-coding RNA from Capra hircus (goat), 482 nucleotides. RefSeq lists it as uncharacterized. NCBI's taxonomy places the organism in Eukaryota, Metazoa, Chordata, Mammalia, Artiodactyla, Bovidae. The transcript is spliced from 2 exons. The record is from RefSeq and is a predicted model, not a curated record.
AAGAAAAAAAGAAUUAGUGCGAUAGAUAGGAUAGGUUUAUAUUAGCUCAGAAUUUGGAAGGCUCAUCUUACAUAACUUCUCCAGUGGGUGCCUUGAAUCACCUGCCGCCUCUUUGAGUCUAGCCUCAUCUCCUUUGGUGCUAUCCUACAUCAAGAUGUAGAAGUCAUGGAUUCUUACUGUUUUGCCACCAAGUCAGGAAAAUCUAGUAAGAUCUUUAUCAUUUUUUCUCUCUAAUACUUACAGGUUUUGAUGGAGACUAAGGUCUGUGAGGAUAGGGAGAAUCUACUGAUACUCAUAUAUGCACCUCGAGCUGGCUGGUUGAACGAUACUGAUGGGACAGAUGACAUCAAGACAGGCUAGAAUGAGCCAGAAAUGGAGCUGCUAUUUUUGACCCACAGCAAAAACUGGUGGUGACUUUGGUGAUGUGAGAUAUACAAAUGCAAAAAGUGGAAAACACUGCCAUUAAAAGAUACUAAUUUUUU